UACUGUUUUGGCAGAAGAGAUGCUCUAGAUUUAGGAUCUAGCUAUAUAGAAUUAUUGUCUAUAAAUAGUAA
This 71-nucleotide transfer RNA is filed under the name Trapezia lutea. Its description in RNAcentral is "tRNA-Leu". Lineage: Eukaryota; Metazoa; Arthropoda; Malacostraca; Decapoda; Trapeziidae. The record is from RNAcentral.